Molecule: ribosomal RNA, 2903 nt
Filed under: Escherichia coli
Lineage: Bacteria; Pseudomonadati; Pseudomonadota; Gammaproteobacteria; Enterobacterales; Enterobacteriaceae
Description: bacterial LSU rRNA
Rfam family: Bacterial large subunit ribosomal RNA
Source: RNAcentral
UUAAGCGACUAAGCGUACACGGUGGAUGCCCUGGCAGUCAGAGGCGAUGAAGGACGUGCUAAUCUGCGAUAAGCGUCGGUAAGGUGAUAUGAACCGUUAUAACCGGCGAUUUCCGAAUGGGGAAACCCAGUGUGUUUCGACACACUAUCAUUAACUGAAUCCAUAGGUUAAUGAGGCGAACCGGGGGAACUGAAACAUCUAAGUACCCCGAGGAAAAGAAAUCAACCGAGAUUCCCCCAGUAGCGGCGAGCGAACGGGGAGGAGCCCAGAGCCUGAAUCAGUGUGUGUGUUAGUGGAAGCGUCUGGAAAGGCGCGCGAUACAGGGUGACAGCCCCGUACACAAAAAUGCACAUAUUGUGAGCUCGAUGAGUAGGGCGGGACACGUGGUAUCCUGUCUGAAUAUGGGGGGACCAUCCUCCAAGGCUAAAUACUCCUGACUGACCGAUAGUGAACCAGUACCGUGAGGGAAAGGCGAAAAGAACCCCGGCGAGGGGAGUGAAAAAGAACCUGAAACCGUGUACGUACAAGCAGUGGGAGCACAGAGCAAUCUGUGUGACUGCGUACCUUUUGUAUAAUGGGUCAGCGACUUAUAUUCUGUAGCAAGGUUAACCGAAUAGGGGAGCCGAAGGGAAACCGAGUCUUAACUGGGCGUUAAGUUGCAGGGUAUAGACCCGAAACCCGGUGAUCUAGCCAUGGGCAGGUUGAAGGUUGGGUAACACUAACUGGAGGACCGAACCGACUAAUGUUGAAAAAUUAGCGGAUGACUUGUGGCUGGGGGUGAAAGGCCAAUCAAACCGGGAGAUAGCUGGUUCUCCCCGAAAGCUAUUUAGGUAGCGCCUCGUGAAUUCAUCUCCGGGGGUAGAGCACUGUUUCGGCAAGGGGGUCAUCCCGACUUACCAACCCGAUGCAAACUGCGAAUACCGGAGAAUGUUAUCACGGGAGACACACGGCGGGUGCUAACGUCCGUCGUGAAGAGGGAAACAACCCAGACCGCCAGCUAAGGUCCCAAAGUCAUGGUUAAGUGGGAAACGAUGUGGGAAGGCCCAGACAGCCAGGAUGUUGGCUUAGAAGCAGCCAUCAUUUAAAGAAAGCGUAAUAGCUCACUGGUCGAGUCGGCCUGCGCGGAAGAUGUAACGGGGCUAAACCAUGCACCGAAGCUGCGGCAGCGACACUGUGUGUUGUUGGGUAGGGGAGCGUUCUGUAAGCCUGUGAAGGUGUGCUGUGAGGCAUGCUGGAGGUAUCAGAAGUGCGAAUGCUGACAUAAGUAACGAUAAAGCGGGUGAAAAGCCCGCUCGCCGGAAGACCAAGGGUUCCUGUCCAACGUUAAUCGGGGCAGGGUGAGUCGACCCCUAAGGCGAGGCCGAAAGGCGUAGUCGAUGGGAAACAGGUUAAUAUUCCUGUACUUGGUGUUACUGCGAAGGGGGGACGGAGAAGGCUAUGUUGGCCGGGCGACGGUUGUCCCGGUUUAAGCGUGUAGGCUGGUUUUCCAGGCAAAUCCGGAAAAUCAAGGCUGAGGCGUGAUGACGAGGCACUACGGUGCUGAAGCAACAAAUGCCCUGCUUCCAGGAAAAGCCUCUAAGCAUCAGGUAACAUCAAAUCGUACCCCAAACCGACACAGGUGGUCAGGUAGAGAAUACCAAGGCGCUUGAGAGAACUCGGGUGAAGGAACUAGGCAAAAUGGUGCCGUAACUUCGGGAGAAGGCACGCUGAUAUGUAGGUGAAGUCCCUCGCGGAUGGAGCUGAAAUCAGUCGAAGAUACCAGCUGGCUGCAACUGUUUAUUAAAAACACAGCACUGUGCAAACACGAAAGUGGACGUAUACGGUGUGACGCCUGCCCGGUGCCGGAAGGUUAAUUGAUGGGGUCAGCGCAAGCGAAGCUCUUGAUCGAAGCCCCGGUAAACGGCGGCCGUAACUAUAACGGUCCUAAGGUAGCGAAAUUCCUUGUCGGGUAAGUUCCGACCUGCACGAAUGGCGUAAUGAUGGCCAGGCUGUCUCCACCCGAGACUCAGUGAAAUUGAACUCGCUGUGAAGAUGCAGUGUACCCGCGGCAAGACGGAAAGACCCCGUGAACCUUUACUAUAGCUUGACACUGAACAUUGAGCCUUGAUGUGUAGGAUAGGUGGGAGGCUUUGAAGUGUGGACGCCAGUCUGCAUGGAGCCGACCUUGAAAUACCACCCUUUAAUGUUUGAUGUUCUAACGUGGACCCGUGAUCCGGGUUGCGGACAGUGUCUGGUGGGUAGUUUGACUGGGGCGGUCUCCUCCUAAAGAGUAACGGAGGAGCACGAAGGUUGGCUAAUCCUGGUCGGACAUCAGGAGGUUAGUGCAAUGGCAUAAGCCAGCUUGACUGCGAGCGUGACGGCGCGAGCAGGUGCGAAAGCAGGUCAUAGUGAUCCGGUGGUUCUGAAUGGAAGGGCCAUCGCUCAACGGAUAAAAGGUACUCCGGGGAUAACAGGCUGAUACCGCCCAAGAGUUCAUAUCGACGGCGGUGUUUGGCACCUCGAUGUCGGCUCAUCACAUCCUGGGGCUGAAGUAGGUCCCAAGGGUAUGGCUGUUCGCCAUUUAAAGUGGUACGCGAGCUGGGUUUAGAACGUCGUGAGACAGUUCGGUCCCUAUCUGCCGUGGGCGCUGGAGAACUGAGGGGGGCUGCUCCUAGUACGAGAGGACCGGAGUGGACGCAUCACUGGUGUUCGGGUUGUCAUGCCAAUGGCACUGCCCGGUAGCUAAAUGCGGAAGAGAUAAGUGCUGAAAGCAUCUAAGCACGAAACUUGCCCCGAGAUGAGUUCUCCCUGACCCUUUAAGGGUCCUGAAGGAACGUUGAAGACGACGACGUUGAUAGGCCGGGUGUGUAAGCGCAGCGAUGCGUUGAGCUAACCGGUACUAAUGAACCGUGAGGCUUAACCUU